This 497-nucleotide ribosomal RNA is filed under the name uncultured bacterium. RNAcentral describes it as "partial 16S ribosomal RNA". It matches the Rfam family "Bacterial small subunit ribosomal RNA", at positions 28 to 507 of the family's 1533-position model. The record is from RNAcentral.
GAUGAACGCUGGCGGCGUGCCUAAUACAUGCAAGUCGAGCGAACGGACGAGAAGCUUGCUUCUCUGAUGUUAGCGGCGGACGGGUGAGUAACACGUGGAUAACCUACCUAUAAGACUGGGAUAAUUUCGGGAAACCGUAGCUAAUACCGGAUAAUAUUUUGAACCGCAUGGUUCAAAAGUGAAAGACGGUCUUGCUGUCACUUAUAGAUGGAUCCGCGCUGCAUUAGCUAGUUGGUAAGGUAACGGCUUACCAAGGCAACGAUGCAUAGCCGACCUGAGAGGGUGAUCGGCCACACUGGAACUGAGACACGGUCCAGACUCCUACGGGAGGCACCAGAAGGGAAUCUUCCGCAAUGGGCGAGAGCCUGACGGAGCAACGCCGCGUGAGUGAUAAAAAUCUUCGGAUCGUAAAACUCUGUUAUUAGGGAAGAACAUAUGUGUAAGUAACUGUGCACAUCUUGACGGUACCUAAUCAGAAAGCCACGGCUAACUACGUG